UGCUUUAUUAUUAUUAUUAUUAUUUAUCAACCACCAUUCUGGACUUUGUGUGUUUUGUUUUUUUUUUUUUGGUCAUCAAUGGAUCACACCGACACCACUGAGAAAAAGCCUAGAAAUAUGAGCCUUUGAUUCGUCUUUUAUGCUCUCUCUCUCUCUCUCUCUCUCUCUCUAUCUUUGCUUCUCUAAAUUAAUGAUUUCUUCUUCAAGCAUGUUGCUUUUACGUUGUAAAGGAUGGACUUGUUGAUCUAGUUCACAACAAAUACAGGCUCUCAAUCUCCACUUUGCGUAUCUGUAGGCUUGAGUGAUGCUUCUCUCAAGACAGUUCCAGAUGAAGCUUUCAAAAUGUUUCAUCUUAAAUAUCUAAUCUUAAAUAUCUAAACUCGAGAGGAACUAAGGUGAGAAUGGUCAAGACAUCUUUCAAUUUCAAAUUCAAGAUUCAAUGCUCUGAAACACAACAUAUUCAAUGUUUCGAAACACAACAUAAUUCUUGUGUAUGAAUUGCAAAAUAUUUGUACAAACAGCAAAUAUAAUAAAACUUUGUAUAGUUUAUUUUAA
Cornus florida is the source of this 555-nucleotide long non-coding RNA. RefSeq lists it as uncharacterized. The transcript is spliced from 2 exons. NCBI's taxonomy places the organism in Eukaryota, Viridiplantae, Streptophyta, Magnoliopsida, Cornales, Cornaceae. The record is from RefSeq and is a predicted model, not a curated record.